RNAcentral lists this ribosomal RNA (837 nucleotides) under Triticum aestivum (bread wheat). RNAcentral describes it as "partial small subunit ribosomal RNA". The record is from RNAcentral. Lineage: Eukaryota; Viridiplantae; Streptophyta; Magnoliopsida; Poales; Poaceae.
AUGGCAAACGGGGACGUGCAUGAAAUAAACGGGCGUGGUGCAAACACGGAGUUUAUCUCAUACAACACAUGCAUUCGGUCCACGGGCGUCGUUCUGGCGGUUAUACCUUCGAAGUGUUCAUUUUCGGAGCGGAUUGGGUUUGAUAGUAGCGGAAGUAGUGGUUCACGUUCGUUCGGAGAGGUACUUGAUGACUCCAACGUCUUCGGGGUGACGCGGUCAAUGGGGCUGGUUGCUGCGAGUCGUCUCCUUCACCAGGAGACAGAACGAAGGUGUGGCAGCAGGGCAAGCAGGGGGGAUGGCGCUGGUCGUCGUCGUUCGGCACACAGAAGCUGGGUAGGCCAGCGACGAGGGCUUGGGGAGGUCGAUCCGGUCGCCUCCGAGGCUUGGGCACGCCGGAGCUUUGAGCUGGAGGCGGCGGAUGGCAUCCAUGGCCAUGGCUGCUUCCGGAGCUUCGCCACAGGUGCUCAGACAAGGCAGGGCACGGGAGCUCGAGGUCGAUGGCGUCGGGCGCUGGCCAACACGCUCGCCAGGGACGCGUGCGGCAGGGAACUCCUGCCGGUUCGGUCGGCCGGCGACGAGGCUGACGAAGGAGGAGGGAGAGGGGAACGUGACGAGGGCGUGGUGCUGCUCGGCGGCUUGGACUCGCCGGCCAGGGCGGCAGCAGGGAGCUCCUGCUCCCACCGAAGACGACAACGGGAGACCUGCGUGACGAGGCGGCUUGAGAGAAACGGCGACGGGAGGAAGGGGGUGAGGCGGCGCGAGGCCAGGUGGAGAAGUGGGAUCGAUAGGAGGCUCUCGCUUCUCCAUCACUAUGUGUGCGGCGCAGGAGGAGGAUGA